UUUAUGGAGAGUUUGAUCCUGGCUCAGGAUGAACGCUGGCGGCGUGCCUAAUACAUGCAAGUCGAGCGAACGGACGAGAAGCUUGCUUCUCUGAUGUUAGCGGCGGACGGGUGAGUAACACGUGGAUAACCUACCUAUAAGACUGGGAUAACUUCGGGAAACCGGAGCUAAUACCGGAUAAUAUUUUGAACCGCAUGGUUCAAAAGUGAAAGACGGUCUUGCUGUCACUUAUAGAUGGAUCCGCGCUGCAUUAGCUAGUUGGUAAGGUAACGGCUUACCAAGGCAACGAUGCAUAGCCGACCUGAGAGGGUGAUCGGCCACACUGGAACUGAGACACGGUCCAGACUCCUACGGGAGGCAGCAGUAGGGAAUCUUCCGCAAUGGGCGAAAGCCUGACGGAGCAACGCCGCGUGAGUGAUGAAGGUCUUCGGAUCGUAAAACUCUGUUAUUAGGGAAGAACAUAUGUGUAAGUAACUGUGCACAUCUUGACGGUACCUAAUCAGAAAGCCACGGCUAACUACGUGCCAGCAGCCGCGGUAAUACGUAGGUGGCAAGCGUUAUCCGGAAUUAUUGGGCGUAAAGCGCGCGUAGGCGGUUUUUUAAGUCUGAUGUGAAAGCCCACGGCUCAACCGUGGAGGGUCAUUGGAAACUGGAAAACUUGAGUGCAGAAGAGGAAAGUGGAAUUCCAUGUGUAGCGGUGAAAUGCGCAGAGAUAUGGAGGAACACCAGUGGCGAAGGCGACUUUCUGGUCUGUAACUGACGCUGAUGUGCGAAAGCGUGGGGAUCAAACAGGAUUAGAUACCCUGGUAGUCCACGCCGUAAACGAUGAGUGCUAAGUGUUAGGGGGUUUCCGCCCCUUAGUGCUGCAGCUAACGCAUUAAGCACUCCGCCUGGGGAGUACGACCGCAAGGUUGAAACUCAAAGGAAUUGACGGGGA
RNAcentral lists this ribosomal RNA (937 nucleotides) under Staphylococcus aureus. RNAcentral describes it as "bacterial SSU rRNA". It matches the Rfam family "Bacterial small subunit ribosomal RNA", at positions 1 to 919 of the family's 1533-position model. Lineage: Bacteria; Bacillati; Bacillota; Bacilli; Caryophanales; Staphylococcaceae. The record is from RNAcentral.